AUAGCACGUUAUAUCUGUUCUUCUUUGUCUAUCGUUUGGAAAAGAUUGAUGACGCUAUCUACACUUUUCCAAAUGUAGACAAAGCAAAACCGUGAUGACGUCGUAGA
Molecule: microRNA precursor, 107 nt
Filed under: Brassica rapa (field mustard)
Lineage: Eukaryota; Viridiplantae; Streptophyta; Magnoliopsida; Brassicales; Brassicaceae
Description: miR158 stem-loop (bra-MIR158)
Gene: bra-MIR158
Rfam family: MIR158 microRNA precursor family
Source: miRBase by way of RNAcentral